CGGCAGCACGGGAGUAAUCCUGGUGGCGAGUGGCGAACGGGUGAGUAAUACAUCGGAACGUGUCCUGUAGUGGGGGAUAGCCCGGCGAAAGCCGGAUUAAUACCGCAUACGCUCUACGGAGGAAAGGGGGGGAUCUUAGGACCUCCCGCUACAGGGGCGGCCGAUGGCAGAUUAGCUAGUUGGUGGGGUAAAGGCCUACCAAGGCGACGAUCUGUAGCUGGUCUGAGAGGACGACCAGCCACACUGGGACUGAGACACGGCCCAGACUCCUACGGGAGGCAGCAGUGGGGAAUUUUGGACAAUGGGGGAAACCCUGAUCCAGCAAUGCCGCGUGUGUGAAGAAGGCCUUCGGGUUGUAAAGCACUUUUGUCCGGAAAGAAAACCACCUGGUUAAUACCUGGGUGGGAUGACGGUACCGGAAGAAUAAGCACCGGCUAACUACGUGCCAGCAGCCGCGGUAAUACGUAGGGUGCAAGCGUUAAUCGGAAUUACUGGGCGUAAAGCGUGCGCAGGCGGUCCGCUAAGACAGAUGUGAAAUCCCCGGGCUUAACCUGGGAACUGCAUUUGUGACUGGCGGGCUAGAGUAUGGCAGAGGGGGGUAGAAUUCCACGUGUAGCAGUGAAAUGCGUAGAGAUGUGGAGGAAUACCGAUGGCGAAGGCAGCCCCCUGGGCCAAUACUGACGCUCAUGCACGAAAGCGUGGGGAGCAAACAGGAUUAGAUACCCUGGUAGUCCACGCCCUAAACGAUGUCAACUAGUUGUUGGGUCUUCAUUGACUUAGUAACGUAGCUAACGCGUGAAGUUGACCGCCUGGGGAGUACGGUCGCAAGAUUAAAACUCAAAGGAAUUGACGGGGACCCGCACAAGCGGUGGAUGAUGUGGAUUAAUUCGAUGCAACGCGAAAAACCUUACCUACCCUUGACAUGUAUGGAACCUGGCUGAGAGGUCGGGGUGCCCGAAAGGGAGCCAUAACACAGGUGCUGCAUGGCUGUCGUCAGCUCGUGUCGUGAGA
This 1011-nucleotide ribosomal RNA is filed under the name bacterium. RNAcentral's name for it is "bacterial SSU rRNA". It matches the Rfam family "Bacterial small subunit ribosomal RNA", at positions 67 to 1072 of the family's 1533-position model. The record is from RNAcentral.